UAUGAAAGCAAAAAAUUAUGGCGGUAUUUUAAGCUUUUCAGAGGAAUUUGCUCUUUAAUGGAUAAAACACCAAAAUCUUACUUAGAUUUGUGAUUUCAAUUUGUAUACCACUAUUAAAACAAUUUAUAACUUUAAUUGUUUAAAUUUACAAAACUAAAAUAUAUUAAGUCAAGGUGCAGUAAAAAUUUAAGGAUGAAGUGAAUUACAUUACUUUUUAGUGAGAUAAGUUUAUAACAAUAUUUAGGAUUUGAAAGUAAAAUUAAAAU
RNAcentral lists this ribosomal RNA (266 nucleotides) under Rhipicephalus sanguineus (brown dog tick). RNAcentral describes it as "partial 12S ribosomal RNA". The record is from RNAcentral. Lineage: Eukaryota; Metazoa; Arthropoda; Arachnida; Ixodida; Ixodidae.